AGAAAUACCCUUGCUACUUUGCAACAUGAUUACAAGAUUCAUUUCCAGUAUGGUGGAAAAGUGUGAUUGAUCAUCAUAACUACUUUUGUUGGCAAAGUCUCUUUGUGGAGUUUCCUCGUAUCACUACAUUGCUCACAGGGUUGAAGGCUCGCAGCGGGGGCAUUCACCUGCAGCCUGUUUUAACAGCUAUCGGAUAACGCCCCUCUUGAUCCGUUCUUCAAGACCUACAGUUGAAGGCUAAUCAAAGAAUGCAAAAUUUGACAUUGGUUCCUUGGGACAUGCUUGUGCUCUGCUGCU
Molecule: unclassified non-coding RNA, 297 nt
Filed under: Hevea brasiliensis (rubber tree)
Lineage: Eukaryota; Viridiplantae; Streptophyta; Magnoliopsida; Malpighiales; Euphorbiaceae
Source: RNAcentral